AAGUCAAGCUACUAAGAGCCAUUGGUGGAUAAUUAGGCGCUUGAUGGCGAUGAAGGACGUGGUAAGCUGCGAAAAGCUCCGGGGAAGUGCAAACAACUCGUGAUCCGGAGAUGUCCGAAUGGGGCAACCCUCUCUGUUGUAAGACAGAGAAUUCUGGUCUGAAUUCAUAGGGCCACAAAGCCACACGAGGGGAAUUGAAACAUCUCAGUACCCUCAGGAAAAUAAAGCAAAUGCGAUUCCGUCAGUAGCGGCGAGCGAAAUCGGAACAGCCCAAACCUCUGCAAUGUCAAGCUUUGAGGCGUUGUUGUAGGGGUGUUGCGGGCAGAGACAUUGCGUGCUCAAACACGCAGAAGAAGACAGAUUAAACAUAGUCAAACAACCUGGAAAGGUUGACCCAAGAGAGUGAUAGUCUCGUAGACGAAAUGUUUAGCCGCUUCUUUGUCUUUCGCCCAAGUAUUGCCUGAUAAGUGAAAACAGGCAAGAAUCUGGGAGAACCACCUCCUAAGGCUAAAUACAAGCAAGCGACCGAUAGUGAACAAGUACCGUGAGGGAAAAUUGAAAAGAACCCCUGUUAGGGGAGUGAAAUAGAACUUGAAACCAAUAGGCUUACAGGCGGUCGAAGCACUAUGCCUGAACUUCGGUUCAGGAAUGUGUAACGGCGUGCCUUUUGCAUAAUGAUCCGGCGAGUUAUUCCGUGCAGCGAGGUUAAGCUCAGUGAUGAGUGGAGCCGAAGCGAAAGCGAGUCUGAAUAGGGCGUUUAGUUUCACGGAAUAGACCCGAAGCGAAGUGAGCUAUCCAUGACCAGGAUGAAGUCUCGGUAACACGAGAUGGAGGUCCGAACCGAUGUGAGUUGAAAAUCGCUCGGAUGAGUUGUGGUUAGGGGUGAAAGGCCAAUCAAACUUCGUAAUAGCUGGUUCUCCUCGAAACAUAUUUAGGUAUGGUCUGUGGAGGUAGGAAGGAGAGGUAGAGUACUCAAUGGGCUAGGGAGCUUACCGGCUUACCGAACCCAAUGAAACUCCGAAUUCUCUUUGUGUAAUCCAUGGAAUCAGACAGCGGGGGAUAAGCUUCGUUGUCGAGAGGGAAAGAGCCCAGACCGACGGCUAAGGUCCCAAAUUGUAAGCUCAGUGGUAAAGGAUGUGAGAGUUCAUAAACAACCAGGAUGUUGGCUUAGAGGCAGCCAUCAUUUAAAGAGUGCGUAAUAGCUCACUGGUCGAGAAUUCUCGCGCCUACAAUGAUCGGGGCUAAGCUUACAACCGAAGCCACGGCUCCGCAUCUUCGUGAUGCGGGGGGUAGAGGAGCAUUCCUGAUGGGAUGAAGCGGAACCGACAAGGAUCCGUGGACUGCUAGGAAGAGAUUAUGCCGGAAUGAGUAGCGAUAAGAUGGGUGGAAAUCCCAUCCGCCAUAAACCCAAGGUUUCCCGGGGAAGGCUCGUCCACCCGGGGUUAGUCGGUCCUAAGCCAAGGCCGGUUAGGCGUAGGUGAUGGAAAGUCGGUUAAAUAUUCCGACACCUCUUGUUUCGCGUUACCAACUGCUUGGUGCGCAAAAGGCUAAGUGAUCGCGCGACUGAUUGUGCGCGUCCAAAGUGGUAGCUGCAUCGCAAGAUGCGGUGAGAACUGUUAGGGAGCUCGACCUACGGGAAGAGCGAACUCGCUGACGCCAUGUUGCCGAGAAAAGCCAAGUAAGUGAGCGGAAUGAGAGACCGUACCGUAAACGGACACACGUGGGAAGGGUGAGAAUCCUAAGGCGCACGAGUUACUCCUCGCAAAGGAACUAGGCAAAAUUGCCCCGUACCUUCGGUACAAGGGGUGCCUGAGUAGGAUGACUGUCAAAGAAGUCCGAAAAGGUUGCAGUGAAAUGGCCCAGGCGACUGUUUAACAAAAACACAGGUCUCUGCUAAGUCGAUAAGACGACGUAUAGGGACUGACAUGUGCCCGGUGCCGGAAGGUCAAGCGGAGGUGUCAGACUUCGGUCAAAGCACCAAAGUUAAGCCCCGGUAAACGGCGGCCGUAACUAUAACGGUCCUAAGGUUAACGUAUCGCUAGCUUUAGUAAAACCAAACUAUAUGCGGGAAAAUCCUCACACAGCUUUUUGGUACUCGUUUGCAAUCUGCAAGCAGUAAAAAACCAAGAGACAUGGGGACAAUCCGCAGGGAAGGCUCGGCGAAAGCCGUGAACCCUCAGAGACUUUACGUUUGGAAUUGGUCAUGAAACUUGAUCCACAAUGGAUAGCUGGUUUUGUUGAUGGUGAAGGAUGUUUUCAUGUCGGAAUUAAUUCACAUUCCGAAAUGAGCACAGGAUUUCAAGUGCUACCAGAAUUCACCGUCGUACAACACAAGCGCGAUAUCGCGUUAUUGUAUGCUUUAAAGCAUUUUUUCGGUUUCGGGGUUGUGAGAAGCAACCACGGAGACCGGAUGGCAUACCGCGUUCGAGAUAAAUCGCAUUUGCUUGAACAUAUCAUUCCAUUCUUUAUCAAGUAUCCGCUAAAUUCGAAAAAGCAUCUUGAUUUUUUGAAAUUCAGAAAGGUGCUUUUGAUGAUGAAAGCAGGCGAGCAUUUAACCGCAGACGGCGUCAAGAAAAUUCGCCGAAUUGCGGAACAAAUGAAUCGCUGCCAAUUAAGAUAAAGUCCAGCCUUCUAGGAAACUUUAAGGAACAACUGAGCGAAAUUCCUUGUCGGGUAAGUUCCGACCUGCACGAAUCAUGUAACGACUUGGGCGCUGUCUCUGCGAGUCACUCGGUGAAAUUGUAGUAGCGGUGAAGAUGCCGCGAUCCCGCAUCUAGACGGAAAGACCCCGUGCACCUUUACUGUACGCUGGUAUUGCGUUUUGGUUUAGUCUGUGUAGCAUAGGUGGGAGACUUUGAUGUCCUGGCGCUAGCUGGGACGGAGUCGUCAGUGAAAUACCACUCUUAUUGAACUAGAAUGCUAACUCUACUCUCUGAAGCGAGAUAGAGAACAGUGCUAGCCGGGCAGUUUGACUGGGGCGGUCGCCUCCCAAAUUGUAACGGAGGCGUUCAAAGGUUGGCUCAGCGCGGUUGGCAAUCGCGUGUUGAGGGUAAACCCAUAUAGCCAACUUAACUGCGAGACUGACAAGUCGAGCAGUUGCGAAAGCAGGAGUUAGUGAUCCGGUGGUUGAAAGUUGGAAUCGCCAUCGCUCAUCGGACAAAAGGUACGCCGGGGAUAACAGGCUUAUCUUGCCCAAGAGUCCAUAUCGACGGCAAGGUUUGGCACCUCGAUGUCGGCUCAUCACAUCCUGGGGCUGGAGAAGGUCCCAAGGGUUCGGCUGUUCGCCGAUUNNNNNNNNNNNNNNNNNNNNNNNNNNNNNNNNUAUCUGGUGUGGGCGCAGGAACUUUGUGGAAUUCUCUUCUUAGUACGAGAGGACCGGAAGAGACGAACCUCUGGUGUUUCAGUUAUGCCGUCAGGCGUAAGUGCUGAGUAUCUACGUUCGGAAAGGAUAAGCGCUGAAAGCAUCUAAGCGCCAAGCCAGUUCCAAGAUCAGAGUUCCCAAUUCUUUCUUCGGAGAGAGUUUAGAAGACCCCUGGAAGACUACCAGGUUGAUAGGCAGGGAGUGUAAGGGUAGUAAUACCUUCAGCUGACCUGUACUAAUCGGUCGUUCGGCUUGACUCAAUGUUAU
RNAcentral lists this ribosomal RNA (3628 nucleotides) under Candidatus Abzuiibacterium crystallinum. Its description in RNAcentral is "bacterial LSU rRNA". It matches the Rfam family "Bacterial large subunit ribosomal RNA". The record is from RNAcentral. Lineage: Bacteria; Pseudomonadati; Candidatus Omnitrophota.